Molecule: long non-coding RNA, 842 nt
Filed under: Nicotiana benthamiana
Lineage: Eukaryota; Viridiplantae; Streptophyta; Magnoliopsida; Solanales; Solanaceae
Description: long non-coding RNA (NBEN_LNC002659)
Source: RNAcentral
CGUUGUAUCCUGCUGCCUCAUUUUGUGUGCAAUUUACAAUUGUUAUGAAUCUUUUCGUAGAACAUUUAUCUGCUGACUGUUUAAUACUAAACCGUCAUUCUGAUCUUCCUAAUCUAUAUUUACAGGAUGUUGUUAUGAAAUAUAUGUGAGAGCUGUUAUGCGAGAAGAAGCAAGGAAGAAUGAAGAAGGAAGUGCAUAAUGGCAGAUUGUUCUGUUUUUGCAUAUUUUCACUGCUUUUAUUGUUCGAAACGUGGGGGAAAUGGAUAAUGAAGGAUGGGAUCUCUAAGUACAUGAAACUCGUGUUUUAACUUUUGUUUGGGGUUGGUCGUAUGAAAAUAAGGUGGUUCCAAACAGUUGAGGCUGCAUGUCAACGCCAAGUACUUUGCAUGCAAAUUUUGGUUUUAUUUGAACUUUAUGUUUGAAUGCUCUAGAGUGUAUGUGAUGCCUGGUGAGAUUUUCUCACCUUAUAUGGUGCUUUCACUUCUACGUAAUGCGACUAAUACAAAAGAUGGACCUUCAGAUCGUGUAAGUAAUGUUUGUUUUUGUGUGAACAAAGCAACCGUGUAUAAGGGGAUGGAAAAUAAUGUGUAGGGUGAAGGAAUUGCAUUUGUUUAUCUACAUAAUCUAUUUCUCUUGCAAGAGAGUAGUCUAUUUUGCUAUUUGUAUUUUCAAUCACAUCUUUGCUAGUGGAUGAUGCUUAAUCCAUGCUAUAGUUCUGUAGGGAGAUUAAAUGAGAUUGGUUCCCAAUCAAGUAAAAUACAACCUCUUUCUUUAUUAAUCUUAUCUACAAUGGGGUUAUUUCCUGUAAGGAAACUAGAGAAAAUGAGAAAUAAUGUAGAUAU